AGGACGAACGCUGGCGGCGUGCCUAACACAUGCAAGUCGCACGGAGGGGGCAACCCCUCAGUGGCGGACGGGUGAGUAACGCGUAGGUAUCUAUCUCUGGGUGGGGGAUAACAGUGGGAAACUACUGCUAAUACCGCAUGACACCUGAGGGUCAAAGGCGCGAGUCGCCUGGAGAGGAGCCUGCGUACGAUUAGCUUGUUGGUGGGGUAAAGCCUACCAAGGCGACGAUCGUUAGCUGGUCUGAGAGGAUGAUCAGCCACACUGGGACUGAGACACGGCCCAGACUCCUACGGGAGGCAGCAGUGGGGAAUAUUGGACAAUGGGCGAAAGCCUGAUCCAGCAAUGCCGCGUGGGUGAAGAAGGUCUUCGGAUUGUAAAGCCCUUUCGGCGGGACGAUGAUGACGGUACCCGCAGAAGAAGCCCCGGCUAACUUCGUGCCAGCAGCCGC
RNAcentral lists this ribosomal RNA (448 nucleotides) under uncultured bacterium. RNAcentral's name for it is "SSU rRNA". It matches the Rfam family "Bacterial small subunit ribosomal RNA", at positions 26 to 518 of the family's 1533-position model. The record is from RNAcentral.